This 29-nucleotide non-coding RNA is filed under the name Mus musculus (house mouse). The record is from RNAcentral. Lineage: Eukaryota; Metazoa; Chordata; Mammalia; Rodentia; Muridae.
UCCCUCAGAUGGUGAUAUUAGUUUGUUAA